RNAcentral lists this ribosomal RNA (468 nucleotides) under uncultured bacterium. RNAcentral describes it as "partial 16S ribosomal RNA". It matches the Rfam family "Bacterial small subunit ribosomal RNA", at positions 28 to 507 of the family's 1533-position model. The record is from RNAcentral.
GACGAACGCUGGCGGCGUGCUUAACACAUGCAAGUCGAACGGAAAGGCCCUGCUUUUGUGGGGUGCUCGAGUGGCGAACGGGUGAGUAACACGUGAGUAACCUGCCCUUGACUUUGGGAUAACUUCAGGAAACUGGGGCUAAUACCGGAUAGGAGCUCCUGCUGCAUGGUGGGGGUUGGAAAGUUUCGGCGGUUGGGGAUGGACUCGCGGCUUAUCAGCUUGUUGGUGGGGUAGUGGCUUACCAAGGCUUUGACGGGUAGCCGGACUGAGAGGGUGACCGGCCACAUUGGGACUGAGAUACGGCCCAGACUCCUACGGGAGGCAGCAGUGGGGAAUAUUGCACAAUGGGCGGAAGCCUGAUGCAGCAACGCCGCGUGCGGGAUGACGGCCUUCGGGUUGUAAACCGCUUUCGCCUGUGACGAAGCGUGAGUGACGGUAAUGGGUAAAGAAGCACCGGCUAACUACGUG